Molecule: long non-coding RNA, 636 nt
Organism: Glycine soja
Lineage: Eukaryota; Viridiplantae; Streptophyta; Magnoliopsida; Fabales; Fabaceae
Exons: 3
Source: RefSeq, a predicted model, not a curated record
UUUAUAAUUAAAAUAAUUAAUAAACAGAUAGGAUAAAAAAUUAUACAAAUCAUUAGAUUAUGACUGAACCAAUUGCUUUUUCAAUUGUAGGGAAUCAUGCCCUAUAUAUGUAGCUAGCAAUGUAGUAACGCUAGUGGACAGGGCAACAGGUUGGUAGUAUCUCUCAUCAGCCGAAUCUUGACCCUCUAUGGGUCCAUUCCAUCCAUUCAUGUAUGACCUAUCUGAGUGCCUCUUCCUACUCCUUCUGUGUUCAUGUCUAACCACCAUAAAGCAUGAUCUACGAAGAAUGGAAACAGAGAAAUUCAACCACCAAAGACAAACAGACAUGAAGGACGGGGAAAAAGAAAAGAAAGAAAGUGGAUUACUGCAAUUCAAAUUGAAGUGAAAUGGAGAUGGAGCUCAAUUAUUUCAAAAACGACGGAAAUCGUAAAAAGCUACACUUCUCUCUAUCUUAAAAUGCCUCCUUUACUUUUUGUAUGUACGAUUUGGCUCUUUUUUGUUGUUGUUGGUUAGUUUUGGGCCCACCUCUUCACUGAUAAUUAUUACGUAGUAUAUAAGCUCUUGUAAAAGGUUAAAUGACAAAUUGCACAGUGACAGCAGCAAUAUGUCCUUGCCGUAUAAUUCUUUCUUAGAAAU